GAUGAACGCUAGCGGCAGGCUUAAUACAUGCAAGUCGUACGGGAUCCGAGGUAGCAAUACUUUGGUGAGAGUGGCGCACGGGUGCGUAACACGUAUGCAACCUACCUAUAACCGGGACACAACCUUGAGAAAUUGAGGCUAAUAUCCCAUAACACUGCGCUGAGGCAUCUCGAAGCAGUUAAAACUCCGGUGGUAAUAGAUGGGCAUGCGCGACAUUAGCUAGUUGGUGAGGUAACGGCCCACCAAGGCUACGAUGUCUAGGGGUUCUGAGAGGAUUAUCCCCCACACUGGUACUGAGACACGGACCAGACUCCUACGGGUGGCAG
Molecule: ribosomal RNA, 326 nt
Filed under: uncultured Bacteroidota bacterium
Lineage: Bacteria; Pseudomonadati; Bacteroidota
Description: bacterial SSU rRNA
Rfam family: Bacterial small subunit ribosomal RNA
Source: RNAcentral